GGGCUAUGAUGAUAAUUUUCAUUUCUCGAUACUGAUAUAACGUUGUGUUUUUAUGCGGACCCGCAAAAGCUAACCAUAUAAUUUUGAUGACUGCGUUUGUGCGUGUCUGAGCCUU
Manihot esculenta (cassava) is the source of this 115-nucleotide small nucleolar RNA. RefSeq annotates it as small nucleolar RNA snoR126. NCBI's taxonomy places the organism in Eukaryota, Viridiplantae, Streptophyta, Magnoliopsida, Malpighiales, Euphorbiaceae. The record is from RefSeq and is a predicted model, not a curated record. The transcript has a single exon.